UUUUUUUUUUUUUAAAAAAAAACUUAUCAAAUUUAAGUAAUUUUUGUUUCAAGAACAAAUUGCCCCCUUUGUGGCUGCAGAAACGCUCUACUUUUGGCAUUAUAACCUUCACUAGUCACUCGAACUGAAACACAAGGUCAUGAAUCUAUCACUUAAAAUGAUCAUCCGUAAGUUUCGUUUCUCGAUCUUCCUCAUGAAAUUCUACAAAUAUUCUAGGAAAGGUUCCAAGUCGGGGAUACUAUUGUUCAAAGUUAAACUGGAAUUGAAGGUAAAUUGCGCUUAAAUCAUGGGACUGAGGGACGAAACAGAAAAUUAAGAACUCAGAAAGCCAGAAACUUCAAGAAGCUGAAUGAGGAACAUAUGUAGAUAAAUGAUGCUAUCAAUUUUACCUGCACUUGUAACGAUGUUAGAGAUGCUCAAUUAGGGGAAGCAAAAGAAGAGAAGUCGAGUACCGGGUCCGAAAUUUCGCUAUCCGAAACAUUCGAUUUUAGGUGAUAUUCGUACAUAUGUGAGUUGGUCCUAUGGGCAUCUCUUUGUCGACCUUUGUGGUAAACCAAGCUCCUUCUGAGCCCUAUUUGCUCACUGGUGUCGGGUGCUUGUAUAACACGUUUGGCACAUGUCUCUUUCCAAAACCCGCACUGGGUCUUCCUCUUCCUCUUAUGACCACGGGGACAAAAGAAGAAACACUCGUUUCCAUCCAACGGGAGACUUGACAAUUCUACAAGCAAAGAUUGGUUCAAUGGUAAUCCACUAAGGUCUUACGGGUAACUACAAAUUACCGUCAAACCAUAAGAAAAUAGAGAAAUUGAGAACACUUGAGGACUAAAUGUAAGUUACCAUUGUAUCGUGCAAAUAACUCUGAAGGCUCCAAGUUGUAGAUGUCUAGCUCGGGAAUUUCACAAACAGUUUCCUUUCCUUUGAGCUUUUUUGUCAAGUAAUGACCGACAAGCUGGUCCUCCGUCGGUUUGAAUCUGACUCCCACCGGCCAUGCCCUCGCCGAUUCUGCCAUGCUAUAUGGUUGCUAUCUCACGUUCACUUCUGCAAUUGAAAAAAGAGGAAAAGAGUAGAGAAUGGGGCUAUUGAGAUAAGCGAGGCAUAGAAUAAAAACAGAGGAAAGAGAGUUUACUCUUGACUUUACUUUGCUUGAGAGUGUGGUAUCCCAAGCCCUUCCAAGUGGGUCUUCUCAACCCUUGUUUGAGAAGGCAAACUACUUUUCCAGUGGAUCCCACCUCAAGCUCAAGACCACGUCGUUUUCUAAAAGUAGCUUCUUCAAAAAUCCACAACGCAUAUGUAACUUGGUUAAUCAGACCCACUUGUUUGUUUUAGCCAAUGGGAAGAUAUGAUAGAUAGCCACAUGACCUUGAAUAUGCAUGAAUAAGCAUAUGAUGGUAUGAAGUUCAACAGUGUUUCUUUAGUAAAGAAGACUCUAGAAUUUCAUGUGUGUUACCAUGGUAAUCAUAAUAUGAAGCCGUGUGAAGUGUUUCCUUAGUCAAGAAGAUUCUAGAAUUCCAUGUAACAUGCAUAGUGGGAACAAUGACGUUGAAAGUGAGAGAGAUAAGAUUCUCCCUAGUACAAUACACACAAAAGCACAACUGAUUUCUCUUUAUAUAUUAUAUGCAUAAGCAAAACUUAGAUGCAUGUUCUUGACAAACAAGUUUAGCUUCUCAUCAGAAUUUAGAACUUUUGCCAUUUUAAAACUUUUUUAUAAAGUCGCCAUCGGAUGUGAUAUAACUUGUAAGUGCAAUUGUUUAGUUACAUAACUAAUUCUGACACAUGCCAUCUUUCCAGUCAUCAUGAAUAUAAAAGUUGGUUCAUUAUCAAUGGAUUCAAUGAUUUACCAAUUCUACCCAACAUUUGAUUGCCAACCUUAUAUAAGUUAGUAGUUGUUGUAUGAAGGAACGUAUUAGUAACUUUUCCAAUUAAAGUGGCUAAGUUUCAUAUUGAGGUAAUAAACUUUGGAUAUUAUGUAUAUUUUCUUAAAUCAUAGUUGAUUAGAUUAUGCCUGUAAACUUAGAAGAGGAAUGAUAAUUGUUGAAACAAAGUUUGUGUAUCCAUAUGUGUAUCAAUUUAAAUUGUUAAAAAAAUAUAUCUCGAGUUUAAGCUUGUGAAAUGAAAUCCUAAUUAAAUAUAAAUGUUUCCGAAGGUCCAAAAGUUCAAGUUAUAUUUCCAUGUUUAGAGGAAUUCGAUCAUUCUAUGCCCAAAAAAGUAGGGAUUUUUUUUUUUUUGGCCCCAAAAAUUCUUGUACAGAACCCCCACCAAUGGCAAGACCAAGACUUUAUUACAUAAAUUUCAAACCUUUAUGACUUGAUUACACUUGUUUAGAUAUUUAGGAUUUGGUUGCUUUUUUUUUUUCUUUUUUGUACUUAGGACAAUACAAUUUUCACAGGAAGAAAUUUAAACUGUGCACAUGUCUUUGCGAGCAUAAUUCAUUGUCUAAAAACAUAUUAGAAAAUUUGCAUUAGUUAAUUAUUGAUCUUUUCAGAAAUCUUGUGAUUUUUAUAAAUACAUCUUCUCUCCCCCAAAAUCAUGCGAGGAAUGUAUAUUGACGUUCUCUGAACUGGCAACACCUAAAAGUUCCAUAGGGUAUACAUGUUGAUACAUAAUUUUUAGAGUUAGUUUGUUUCACAGAAAAUGAAUAAUUUAAAAUUUUUUUUUUUAAAUGAUCAUUUGUAUCGCUUACAAAAUUAAAUGAAUGAAAAUAUUUUUUAUUGCCCACAAAAAUAUUUAAAUAUAAAUUGUUGUUGAUAAUGAAAAUAUCUUUCAUCAACUAUUUAUUUCAAGCAAUUAUUUUUUAAAAACAUUUUUCGAAUCAUUCAUUUUUCCCAAUUUCCCAAAACAAACAAAGCCUUAACGGUAAAUCAUUGAUUUUUGCUUUAUAAAAAGCACAAACAAGUUUUCUAACUUGUGGGGUCAUGACAGAAAAACAGUUGUUUUAUUUAUUUUUUCUCUCGCAAGCCAUGAUCUAUGACUGCCAAUGUUGUCUGUGGCUGACCGGUUUAUUGCGCCCAGCUUGUAAAUCCUCGAAAACCUGUUCCGUGGUCACAGUCCAUUUAGCAUAUUUAACCCGUUUCGAAACUCAAAGCCAUUUAGGAAAUUAAUCUACUUAGUCAUUAAUUUUCAGAAAUCCCAAGAUUUCAUCUUCUGUUCUAUCGUUCUCUGCCCUCCAACUCAAGGUAGCCUGAUUGAGCAGGAGGGUUGAUGUUGAUGCCACUCACUCACGAUGACCCCAUCAUCCAGCAUAUUCCAAAGUAAUACAGAAAGUGAGUAGUGGAACCGUAUUCAGUUCUGUUCUGUUCCCGUUCCAUUUCCAAAGCGAAAGAAAAUACAUUAAUCAAACUGAUUACAAUGUUGCAGACAUUGCAGACCCACUAUGCAACAGACAAUACUUAAACAAGCACAAAGCACAAUGACUGAACCAUAUUCAUCUCAAUAUAUCAUGAGUAUAAUAUAAGACAUGUUCAUGGCUUACAGGAGAUGAAAAGAAGGUACGAUGGCAUCCUGUGGUAAAAGAAGACAGAGCAUCUAAGAACGUAGGACUGAUUCUGGGGUUUUGCAAAAGGGGUUUUCAUUUAUCAAUGUUUGGGCUAAGAAUCCUGUGAUUUAUAUACGCUCUUUUAUACAAUCUUCAGAGGAGAUGAGUACUGAUUAGCAUAUUGUAGGCAAUCAUCAUUUGAGAAUAUGCCAUUAUCUGCUCAUACUGACUGUAUUGUACAUAUAUCGGAAUUCAGAUCGAAAAUUGAUUGUGCAUAGAAAGAAGAGGAAAUUUGAAAUGAGGAACAUGCCUUCUUGACAAGAAAAAAAAGGUCAGAAAGUUCAUUGUGCUCCACAAUAAGCAAAUGAAAACUAGGUGGCAUAUGGCUUUACAAGCAUCUCCAGCUACAUAGAUAGCCUUGUCGACAUAUCUUCAAAUUUUGAUUAGAAAUACAUGGAUAGCCUCUUUUGAGAUAUCUUGACAUUCUCAAAACUGCUUUGGUUGAGGUGUCACAUAAGCAAGGAUCAGAUUAACAUUUACAGAAGUCUUCAAACACUGGCAAUAUCACUCUAGUUUGGCAUACUAUUCAGUGCUCUCAUCAAAGUUAAAGAGAUCCGCGAGAUCGAUACAGUCACUUUGAGAUAUGGCAUGAAACAAUGUCCAUUGCCAGGUUCGUCAUCGUGCUCAUGAUUAUCAUGAGACAAUGCUGCUCUUCAGUUGUAUGAGGCUGCUGAUCAGGAGUAGGCAAAUUCCGGUCCGGUAAAUUAAAAUUCGACAUCUCGUUUGGUGGGAGGUCAACAGUAACUUCAGGAGAUGUCUGAGUGACAAAAAACAAAAAAAGAAGAAGAAGGAACAAUCAGUACUCGAGCUUUAGUGUAGUUAGUUCUGUCUCUAGAUCACAUGUUCCUUCGUAUCAAUCUAAAGCAACGUUUUCCCACCUGUUCACUCAUAUCUUGUGUUUCUUCAAUUUGGGAAUCAUUCAGAUUGCUAGGGCCGCUUAACUCGGUUGACGUACUCGGUGUUUCUGGCUUUGCUUUCUCUUUUUUCCUGUUUUUUAUGUGACAAAGAACCAACGCCGUCUGCAAAGACAGAAUGAUCCCAGGGAUGAGCUUCAGGGUUGCAUAACCGAAACUCGAUUGUUGUACGAAAGUACUUUUUGCACAAGAAAAAUCACGCGUCACUUAUCAAAAUUGAAGUAAUUCUUUUUUCAUGAACAAAUUGCCCCCUUUGUUGCUGCAAAAUCAGUUUCGGCAGUAUAACCUUCACUAGUCACUACCACUAAAACACCAGUCACGAAUCUCUCUUAAAAUGAUUCUCUGUAAGUUUGAUUUCUCGAUCUUACUCAUGAAAUUCUACAAAAUACUGUGGUAAAGGUUCUGACUCAUGGAUACUAGUGUUCGAAGUUCAACUGGAAAUGAAGGUAAAUCACGCUUAAAUAAUAACGAGACAGAGGAAGGAACUAGAAAAUAAUGAACUCAGAAAGCUAGAAACUUCAAGAAGCUGAAUGAGAAACAUGUGCAGAGAAAUGAUGAUGAUGUCAAUUUUACCUGCACUUGUAACCAUGUUAGAGAUGCUCAAUUAGGGGAAGCAAAAGAAGAGAAGUCGAGUACCGGGUCCAAUAUUUCACUAUCCGAAACAUUCGAAUUUAGGUUAUAUAUGUGCAUGCCCAAGUUGGUCCUAUGGGCAUUUCUUUGUCGACCUUCGUGGUAAACCAAGCUCCUCCUGAGCCCCAUCUCUUCAGCGCUGUCCGGUGCUUUUAUAACACGUUUGGUACUUGUCUCUUUCCAAAAUCCACACGGGGUCUUCCUCUUACGACCACGGGGACAAAAGAAGAAACACUCGCUUCCAUCCGAUGGUAUACUCGACAAUUCUAUAACCAAAGAUUGGUUGAAUGUCAAUUCACAAAGGUCUCAUAGGUAACGCUCAAUUACCAUCAAAACAAUAAGAAAAUAGAGAAAUAGAGAAUACUAAGGACUAAACGUAAGUUACCAUUGUAUCGUGCAAAUAACUCCGGAGGCUCCCAGUUGUAGAUGUGUAGCUCGGGAAUUACACAAAUAGUUUCCAUUUCUCCUCUGAGCUUCUUUGUCAAGUGAUGACCAACAAGCUCGUCCUCCGUCGGUUUGAAUCUGAGUCCCACCGGCCACGCCUCCAUCGAUUCUGCCAUGCUAUAUGCUUGCUAUCUCACAUUCACUUCCGCAAUGGAAAAAAGAGGAGAAGAGUAGACAAUGGGGCUGUUGAGAUGAGAAGAGGAAGAGAAUGCAAAGAGGGGAAACAGAGGUUACUCUUGGCUUGGCUUUGCUCUGGGAGUGCUGACUGCAAACACUUCCAGGCAAGUCAAUUUAUAAUCACAAAACGACAAGUAAUUUUCUCGACCCUUGUUUGAGAAGGCAAACUAGUGUUUGAGAGGAUCCCACCUCAAGCUCAGGACGAUGACAUUGUCAUUACAAGAAGCUUCUUCGAAGUCCGCAACGCGUAUGNNNNNNNNNNNNNNNNNNNNNNNNNNNNNNNNNNNNNNNNNNNNNNNNNNNNNNNNNNNNNNNNNNNNNNNNNNNNNNNNNNNNNNNNNNNNNNNNNNNNNNNNNNNNNNNNNNNNNNNNNNNNNNNNNNNNNNNNNNNNNNNNNNNNNNNNNNNNNNNNNNNNNNNNNNNNNNNNNNNNNNNNNNNNNNNNNNNNNNNNNNNNNNNNUAGAAUUUCCAGCGACAUCGAGAGUGGAAGAGAUCAAAGAAAAGAUUCUCUUGAGAAAAGAUUCUCCUUGGCACGAUUCCAAAGCACUAUCGUUUCUCUUUAUAUAUUAUAUGCAUAUUAAUCUACAACAGGAUUGUGAACUUUAAGAAAGUAUUCAGUGAUCACCUACUACCACAUCGUAGGCUGAUGUGGUAUGCUUUUUGUUUUUUUAAAGCCAAUCACAAGUUGCCACCUAGUGAUGAGAUGGACAUAAAUUAAAAAAUUUGAAAACUCACUCCCAUUUUUUUUCUACUCCGUUCACUGCGCUCUGCCGGUGGCCUUGGACCUCGGAUUUCCAGAUUUUCCCGAGCGUCGACAACUCUGCCGGUGGCCAUGGCCGAGCCACUCCGUCUGUUGUCGGGUUGGCUCGCUGCCGCGCCACCCACGAGCACACAUCGUCGCGGCGGCUCAUCCAUGGCUAGAUCUAGAGCCAUGAGCACGCGAAGCAAGAACAGCAGGAGCAGUACGAGGUGUAGGAAAUCUGGGUUCAUCUUCUCUCUGCUGUACAGGUUGAUUGUUGCAGCAGUAGGAUGUGGAGGUAGCUGGACGGUGAGAAGGAUCCCAGGGCAGCGUCGUUUGGGGCUCCAGAUCUGGAAAUCUGAGGGUUGCAGCAAGGUACCAUUUUUAUUUAUUUAUUUAUUUAUAGUGUUGAGAUCAUAAAAAUUUCAAACUGAUUAAUUUUUUUUAUCAUCAAAAAUCUGAAAAUAGUAUUUAUGUGACAAAUUUAUCUUAAAUGACCACAAAAAACCAUAAACUCAUAUAUAUAUGACAAAUUUAUCUAAAAUUAAUUUGUUCAACGGCAAAAAAAUCUUCAAACUGACAUAUUUGUGACAAAUAUACUCUAAUUUAAAUUUGAUUAAUAUCACAAAAAUGGUACAAUUAUAAUAAACAGAAAGUAAAAUUGCAAAUUGAUACACCAGUUAACUAUCACGUAUUAUUACAUUUAGCAAUUUAAUAGUAAAAUUUAACAUAAACUAAUAGAAGGUAAAUUUGUCAUAUGCGUAUCAGUUUAGAAUUUUUCAGAAUAUUAAAUUUUUUUUUUUUUAUAUUUAUCCAAGUCAUCCACGUGUCGAGUUGUGAUUGGAUUUUGCUAAAAUAUACAUACCAUGUUAGCCUAUAAUAUGACAAUAAGUGACCACUGAAUACUUCCUUAUAAAGUUAAGGGGAAAACAAAUUGAAGGGUAGAGUCGUACAUUGUAGUAAACCUUAGAUGCAUGUUCUUCUUGACUAAAGAUUUUAGAUUCUUAUGAAUAUUUAGAACCUUAUCAUUGUAAAAUUGUCCUAUAUAGCAAAUGUUUAGCUCCGUAAGUAAUUCUUAGGUACACAUGUCGUCUCUCUGAUGAUUGUCAUGAAAAAAAAAAAAAAUCUCGUUUACUAUCAAUUGGAUUUGACUUUUACUAAUUCUAUCACAUGUUUAGACUCCAUUUGUUUUGCAAAAAAUGUGAUAUUUCUAGAAAAUAUUUUUUAUGAAGUUAUUUCCUAGGAAAAUGAUAAUAUUUUUUAGUGUUUGGCUGAAACUUGAAAAUGAAGUGAAGAAUAUUUUUCAUUAUUGGAUAUGGAAAAUCUAAUUUGAUUUUUCUAAAUAAAAAUACACUAGUCGGAUGCUAAUAACUUGCAUAUGGAUAGCUGAGAACUAAGUAUAGGCAUUAGAGUAUCUAGUUUGGCCGCCAUGGACCUUGACCUGGGCUCUAGGGAUUGGGGCACAAUCACCUAGUCCCUUGUCCAACCUUGAUGGACUUGAGUGCGGGUAGUAGGAUCUUGGGCUUAGCCUCGAUGGACUAAAGCCCAGGUGUUAGGGAUCUAAGCUUAGGUAUAGGAUCCCAUACUUGGCCUUGAAACCCAAGCCUUGGACCCUGGCUUAGGUUCCAAGGCAUCAGGCACAGGCACCAAGGCUUCAUGGUUGGCCUCCAUUGACCUAGGCAUGAGCUUUAAGGCCUAGGCAUAAGCAUUGGGGUCUUGGGCUCUGCCCUGAUGGACCCUAAGCGAGGGCUCGGGAUCUAGGCAUGAGCAUUGGGUCUUGGGCAUGGGCACUGAGGUCACAGCCCGGCCUUGAUGGACUUGAGCCCAAAUGCUGGAGAUUUAGUCAUUGACGAAGGGGACCUAGGAAUUAGCAUUGGAAUUUUGGUGCCUAAGCAUAGAGUUUUGAAACAAGCGUCAGUACCGAGUUAUAUUCUUAAAUAUCAAUUUUAGUUUUUUAAAUUCAAAAUCAUAUUCUUGAAAUUAAGCAUAGGUUUUCUGUUGACUAGAAAUUUUUUUUUCAUUGACCCAUUUUUCUAAGUGAACCAAAUGCCGUAAAAUGGGGAAAAUGUUUUUUCUAAAAAUAAUUUCCACCAAACAAAUGAAUCCUUAAUUACCAACAUUGUAUUAACUUUUAGGAUUGCCCGAAGGAAUGUAUUGGUAACUUUUCCAUUAAGGUAGUUAAAUUUGACAUCGAGGUAAAAAAAAAACUUUGAAUUUGAUAUGUUUCUUUAAAUCAUAGUAGAUUAGAUUGUGCUUUUGAAAUUAUAAGAGGAUUGAUAAUUUUCAUUUUCUUUUGGCUUCUCUCUCUUAUCUGUUAUAAAUGGCUCGCAUGUGCGGGCUUUGUAAGAUGAAAUUUUAUGUAUGCAAAAAAUGGAAUUUUUUUAUGCCAUUAGUCUUAUCUACUCAAAUAAUUUGCAACCUCAAUGUCAUUACUCACUUCAGAUAUUGCACUAUAAAUACUUUUUACAUGUGAAAAACAGUUCAUCANNNNNNNNNNNNNNNNNNNNNNNNNNNNNNNNNNNNNNNNNNNNNNNNNNNNNNNNNNNNNNNNNNNNNNNNNNNNNNNNNNNNNNNNNNNNNNNNNNNNNNNNNNNNNNNNNAAGUUAUAUUAGUUAUGUAGAUGCUAUAAAUUUAGAUAUUAAAAAACAUAUCCAUCAACAUCUAAUAGAUUCAUCAUAAUGUUGUUUAGAUUAGGCAAAAGUUGCACCGAAAGUGCUUGAAGUCAAUGUGCAAUCAAGUCCUACAUGGUUUGAAUAAAAUAAAAUCAAGUCCUUCUAGCAAUGGAUCAGGCAAAUUUGCUGACUUGGCCCGCUGGAAUCCAAUGUGUCGUUCUCUAGUAUAUCUAGGAUACGUGGAACCACGUGAUAAAAGUCAAAUUUUCUUUUCAAAAAAGAAAAUCAAUGAAAUAAAAGGAAAAGACCAUCAAAAACCCCAAAUUUUACUUAAAGUGACAAUUUUACCUCAAUGUUUUUUUUUUUUGUAAUAUGAAAAACCCUGAACUUCGCCAACCGUGACACAUUUAUUCCAAACUUUUUUUCGUGACACAAAAAAUCAUGAAUUUCUAUUCGUGUGACACAUUUACCCUAAACUAUAGGGCAUUUUGAUCUUUUUUCUUUUUUCUUUUAAAAAAAAUUCUUUUUUUUUUCUUUUUUUCUUCUUCUCUCUUCCCUCCGCUGGUGUCAGGCGAGGGCGGCCCUUGGCUGAGUCAAGUUAGGGCACCCCUCACCCAAUGUUGGGGAGGGUACCCCUUGCUCGAGUCUGGCAGGGGUGCCCUUGCUAGGCCCUCGUCAGCGUCGGGUGAGGGCACCUAUCGCCCGACCUAGCCAAGGGCCGCCCUCAUCUAAUGCCCGUGAGGGUAGCCCUAGCCAGCCCAGGCAAGGGCGACCCUCACCCAACGCCGGCGAGGGUAGUCCUCGCCGAACACCAGCUUCCUUCCGCCAUGGCUGGCAGAGGGAAGAGAGAAGAAGAAGAAAAAAAGAAAAAGGAAAAACAGAAAAAUUAAGAUGAAAAUGCCAUUCGUUGGGUAAAUAUGUCACAAUUUACAAAGUUUGGGGUUUUUCAUGUCACAAAAAAAAAGUUUUGGAUAAAUUUGUUACUUUAGGCAAAAUUUGGGGUUUUUUGUGAUCUUUUUCCUAAAAUAAAAUGUCAAAAUUUUGGGGAAAAAAAUUGAAUAACCUAAACCAAGGAGAUGAAAUAGACCAUGGCGACCCUCCCCUUGCAAGAGCAAAGUGCAUGUAUGCCCUCACCUGCCUGUGGUGAGCGUUGUCGGCGAUGUGAAAAGCCUUGCUGCCAUGGCAAUCUCUCUCUUUUGCUUAUUUACUUUUCUUUUUUUUUUUGCUUAUUUACUUUAAACAUUUUUAUUAAUAAUAAUUAACCUAUUUUAUGAGGUGGUGCCCAUAGUGGUACCACGUCAGUGCUACCUAUGACAAAAGUAACAUUAUAAAGCACGACCUCGAAUUCGAACAUGCCGGAUCAACAAAAUUGCUUAUACGGUUACCAGAAGGACUUAAGUCAUCAUAUCGAGUAUUUUUAUAACUUGCUUAAACAUUAUAUAAAUAAUUAAGACUUUUGGUCCCCUUUAUUUUACGAAUGAUACUGGUGAAGUAUAUUACAUACUUGAUCUUUCGCACAUAGAUAAAUUCCUCAUGGUAAUUGACUAACCAUACUUUUAAAACUUGAAAGAAGUUACUCUUUCAAUGAAACGUUAGUAAAUUCCAUACAGGGAUGAUAUUUACUAACCAUACAUGUAAACUUUCAAAGUUGGUAAUGUACUAAUUAUUUUAGUGUAGGUAAUCUUUUGUUGGUGCUUUACUAAUUAUACUAGUAACAAUUCAAGCUGAUUAGUUACCAACUUAUUAAAAUGUUGGUAAAUUAUCACAAUGUUCGUAGUUUGCUUACCAUAUUAGUAAAAAUUGAAAAUUACUAAUUCGUUGGAACGUUGGUAAAUCUUUGAUAGUGUUAGUAAUAUACAAACAAGUUACUUGGCAUUCGAGUUACCGGUUACAAUCUAAUCACCGACAUUGUUAGAAUUUACUACCAAUUUCAUAAAUAUAUUUACAACGGAAAAUUUUCCAGCUUUUCCCAUGACUAGACCCUAGACUCGUCCCCUUUAAUGUGGUUAACUACAGGUUCAUCGAGGCUUCUAAAUUCCAAAAUUGCCCUCCAUGCAUAGGAGAAAGCUCAAAUAGGGAUGGCCCGUGGACUUCUCCCUUUCAACUCUAGAUUUCUCACACGGCCAGACAUUACAAAGCAUGCCCAUAUGAGUAUAGCUCGAUUCAAUGAAUCGCGUGUAGAACUCAAUUCUCAGCAUUCGUGUCUGGUGGAAGAUUGAUAAUCAAGAAAGGAGAAGGGUCGAUUUAGUUGUUCUUUUGAUAUACUUCUGAGAUUAUAGAGAUUGAAGUGUCCGCUCUACCGAGUGUUAUUUUAAAUUCACUUUCUCCUCAAUUAUACCCAAAAUUUGCUUUUAAUUUUAAAUUGAUACUUAUAAUCAAUCAAGUCAUGCACAUAAAUUAUGACAAAAGUUGCAUGUUUUAUAUCUUGAUUAUGGGUCAAAAUUUUGCUUGAUUCUAUGGAUAAAUGGCAUCUAGAUGCCACUCGAUGGUGAGAUAUUGACUUGAUUAUGUUUGAAAUCAUGCUUUAUUUUGUGAGAAAUUGCUAGAAAUCCUAUCAUCUCGAUACCACUUAUGGCUGAAGCCUUAUGGGAAGCCCUCAACAACUUUUUUUUCUAAAAGGCACAAAGUACUUAUACUUGAGUCAGACAACUUGCAAUUAGUCAAGGCCAUGGACAAUUCGAAACAGUUGAGUUGUCUCCAAGUGCAAGGACAGAUUGAGGGCUUUCUCAAAUGUUCAAAUUGUGAAUUGCUUUAGAGAGGCCAACCUUAUUGCGGAUUGGGUAGUCAAAGCCCAUAAGAAAAAUUACUUAUCUUCAAAUUGGGUCUUGUCCUCUCCUCAAAUUCUUUGGGAGCUUUCACGUAAUGAUGCACAUUUAAUGGGCCUCUCAUCUUUGCUAAGUAAAUGAAAUAUUUCCAUUUCUGGCAACAAAAAAAAAGAUACCACUAAUGGCGAGAUCAUGCUACUGAUCGCCUUCUAUUUUCUCUUAGAACCCAUAAUCAAAUCAAACACCUAACAAACAACAAUGGUCACCGUUUGAGGAGAGAGGGGAGCAGCGAGAAAGAACAACUUUGCUUUAUCCAUCGUCAUGGUGGGAUGGAGCCGCCAUUGUGGUGAGAUUAGAGGCAGCGAGAUAGAGUAAUGAGAGAGAAAUCGAAAGAGAAUGAAAAGCUUAUCAUUGGGAGUAAUCGGGGCAUUGAUGAGGAAUAGGUCUUUACCCACAAAUCACUUUCCAAGUCAUACGUAUGGACUUGGGAUAUUACAACUAUGGAGGGAAGUCCCAUACUGCAAGCUCUCUCAACAGUUAGACGAAUAGAUACUGAUGCAUGAUCAGUACUGAGUAGAUAAGAUCAAGAUAAAUACCCAAAUUGUAAGGAAACAACAACAAUAAUAAUAAUACAAUGUAAAAGGGUACAAGAUUGACAAAUGUCCUAUCCCCGGAGAAGCAUAGUUGGUACCCGGCAUAAUCACUGAUAAAAUAAGUGAGGCUGAGAUUAACAUCUAUAAAGGACCUCAAACACUGGUAUUAUCCUCUAGUUUGGAAUACUGAUCAGUGCUCUCGUUAAAGAGAUCUGCGAGAUCAAUACCAUCGCUUGGAGAAUAUGACUUACACCAAAAUCCAUCACUAGGUUUGUCAUCAUGUUGACAAUCAUCAUGAGACAAAUAUUGCUCUUCGCUCAUUUGAGGCUGCUGAUCAGGAAUUGGCAAAUUAGAAUUCGACAUCUCGUUCGGAAAGGGGAAUUCAACAGUAACUCCAGGAGAUGCCUGAGUGACAAAAAAGGAAAACCGAAGGAAUAAUCAGUACUCGAGCUUUAGUAUGAUUAGUUGCAUCUCUAGAUCACAUGUCUCUUUGUAUCAAUCAAAGCAACACUUGCUCACCUGUGCACUAAUAUCUUGUGUUUCUUCAUUUUGGGAAUCGUUCAGAUUACUAGGGCGUCUUAAAUCAGUUGAAGUACUCGCUGUUGCUGACUUUGCUUUCUUACUUUUCUUGUUUAUAAUGUGACAGAGAACCCACGCUGCCUACAAGGACAAUGAUACCAGGGAUGAGUUUCAAAAUUACAUAACCGAAACAACACUGUUGCGCGAAANNNNNNNNNNNNNNNNNNNNNNNNNNNNNNNNNNNNNNNNNNNNNNNNNNNNNNNNNNNNNNNNNNNNNNNNNNNNNNNNNNNNNNNNNNNNNNNNNNNNNNNNNNNNNNNNNNNNNNNNNNNNNNNNNNNNNNNNNNNNNNNNNNNNNNNNNNNNNNNNNNNNNNNNNNNNNNNNNNNNNNNNNNNNNNUCGAUCUUCCUCAUGAAAUUCUACAAAUAUUCCAGGAAAGGUUCCAAGUCGGGGAUACUAUUGUUCAAAGUUAAAGUGGAAUUGAAGGUAAAUUGCGCUUAAAUCAUGGGACUGAGGGACGAAACAGAAAAUUAAGAACUCAGAAAGCCAGAAACUUCAAGAAGCUGAAUGAGGAACAUAUGUAGAUAAAUGAUGCUAUCAAUUUUACCU
RNAcentral lists this long non-coding RNA (13534 nucleotides) under Eucalyptus grandis. RNAcentral's name for it is "long non-coding RNA (EGRA_LNC004153)". The record is from RNAcentral. Lineage: Eukaryota; Viridiplantae; Streptophyta; Magnoliopsida; Myrtales; Myrtaceae.